Long non-coding RNA from Gambusia affinis (western mosquitofish), 117 nucleotides. RefSeq lists it as uncharacterized. The record is from RefSeq and is a predicted model, not a curated record. NCBI's taxonomy places the organism in Eukaryota, Metazoa, Chordata, Actinopteri, Cyprinodontiformes, Poeciliidae. The transcript is spliced from 3 exons.
UUGUGGCGCUGCAGACGGUCCAAAGAUUUGAGCUGCAUCAGGUCAUUUCAGUCUGAAAGCAGCAGCCAGAGGCCGACCAGUAAUCAUGGACUGAACCAGAUUGAAAGUGAUUACAGC